Molecule: long non-coding RNA, 221 nt
Organism: Cyprinodon tularosa
Lineage: Eukaryota; Metazoa; Chordata; Actinopteri; Cyprinodontiformes; Cyprinodontidae
Exons: 2
Source: RefSeq, a predicted model, not a curated record
UUUAGAGCUGGGAACUCAAACCAAGGUCAACACCCUCACUAGAAGUAAGACGCUGAAACAGUUAUCGGACUCUGCUGAACCAAACCAUCUCCGGACCCAACAGUUCCUCUCCCAAAGUCUCUUCUACGCAUCUCAAGACUCCAGUGAACCAGUCCCCAGGCCUGAACCAGCAAACUGUACAUUUACUACGUGCUUGUGUAACAAUAAACUUGUUAACUUUU